UUCUUCCUUCGUCUAGCACGCGCUUGUUGGGUACCUGCUGCGCGCGGGUCUUGGGCCUGCGGGCCAGGCUCCGGCCCAACCCUCGUGGAACCCUGACGGUUCUUGGAUGCGAGAAAGAGCAAAGACGUGUCUGCUGAGUGACUCGAAAGAAACGCGCCCGGUUCUCUGAGUGCCCGGGAGUCACGAUUUGGAUAAGGUGGCCCCGGCAGGAAGCGCCGUAACAGCCAGUGUCUGAAGGGGUGUGGGUAAUUCCUCCCGGAGACAGAGCGGCACUGAGCGGAAGGGAGAGGGAAAGGCUCCUCCUGGAGCCAAGGGGGUGGUGUGGGAUGGAGGCUGAAUGUCAGGGUUCCCAGAAGGAAGGGCCAGCCCGGAGCAAAAGAAAUUUUUGGCUAAACUUGGUGGGAGGGGGUCCCUGUCCGAGCGGGAGCACCUCUUUAAUUGACCCUGGCACAUCCCUCCUCUGAGGGAGUGGGCUUGACCUGCGGUUGGGAAGGACAUGUUUUAGGAGGCGUCCGCUGGAGCGGCUCUGACACCCCGCCCUUCUUUGGGUACCCUGAGCCUGUAAGUGGGCUGUCUCAGAUGGGAUCCGGGGCUUCCUGAACCUUCCUGUGCCUAGCCCCGUGGACAGCAUCAUCUUACGGAGUGACUGGCACACAAACCUGUCACCUCUGUAGAUUAACCAAAAAAUUAUCUCUGGCAUCUGAUGAAAUGGUGUGUUCCCCUCACUGACUCAGGGGCUUCCUUUCCCCACUGCAGUUGUCCACUGUGUGUGAGGCCUGGGGACGCACACACGAGGACUCAAGUGUGCGCGGAAAGGUUGGGGAGCAUGUGCAGUACUGGGGUCUCCCCGAGGGAAGGGGGCACAGGGAUCAGGCUGGUUUAGCUAAGACCAGGCUCUGGCAGCUAGGACAGAAUAGAAUGGAUAGGCUGAAGCAUUUGAAGGACAUUGUUGUGCCUGCCUGGGGUGAUGCGGGCAGCUGCAGUGGGAGCCCUGAAUCUGAUGGCGUAGGGGCCCCCUUUCUGCCAGCAGGACAGGUUGAUAUUUCUAAGUGGGGCUUGGAGUUCCCCCUGCAAAAGGCAGAUGGCAUCCCUGCCUUGCACAGCUAGCCUGCGUGUGGAGCCACGCUGUCCCGGGCUACCCCUCUGUGAGGACAGAUGGGUUUUCAGUUCAGCUCUUCUUGGAACAUGGGAGCUCUCAGACGAGGGAGAUGGAGGCAGUAGAGGUGGGCUCUUGUAUCUGAGAUGGGGGUGGGGGGAGCCAGGACCCCCCUCCUGCCUGGUCCUCCAGGGUCCCUGUGGGUGUAGUUGGUCCCAACACUGGCUUCACUGCCUCGGGGUGACGUUACCAGUGGGGGUGGCUCGCCGCCAUGUGCAGGCAGCCAGCCCAGGGCCUUCUGCAUGCUCCUGUGGGGCAGCUGUCCUUGUGUCUGCCACGCCCCCCGAGGGCCCCGGGGAUGUCCCUGUCAGUGACCGGACGCUGGUGCUCUCAUGCUUCUGCAUGUGAGGCUGAGUUCCUGCUGGAGGAAGGAGGCGGAUCUCCAGGGCUCUGGUGACUGGGCUGCAGGGCGACCAGGUCCAUGCCUGGCUGCCUCAGCUCCUGGGCUGCCACCUUUGUUGGAUUUGGGGCACGGCACGUGGUGUUUCUGGCCCGUUUUCCCGUGUGUGAUCGGGCUAAAGCCCUGUCCUUGCGUGCACACCGGGAGGACUGUCUUUGUUCAAGCCUGGUGUGAUGGCGGUGUCCUGUUCGAGCACAGGCCCUGGGGCUCGGUGGCUGCUGAGGCCCGUGGACCGGUCGUGGUUGUCUUGUGCCUUGUCCAGCAGCCUGAUUUAGUGGCAGCAUGACAGCAGGGCUGGGUAGGGAUCCGUGUACUGGGAGCACUGGGGUGCUGGCUGACCUCUCCCCAGGUGGGAACAGGUGGGAACAGGUGGGAGGGUGCUCAGAUGGUGUCCCCCGGGGCCUGCCUGGGCUCCAGAUAACGGCAACCCUCCAGAUAACGGAGCUGCUCAUUUCAAGUGCCGGCCGAGUGGCGCCGCCCCAAGGGGGUGGACUCCUUCGCCGUCUGGGAUGCGGGCGGUGGGUCUGCUGGGUGUUCGCCUUCGGUCCGCCCCACACACCCCUCCAUGGCACCUUCCCAAGCACCUUCUGCAAAGGCCUUCCAGCGUGCUGUGCUGCCCUUUCUGACUGCCUCUAACCUUGCUGCUUUCUCUUCAUGCCGUCCUAGGAGACCGAAGUGAAAGUAAGUACCCAGCUGGCCCUGCCGCAGCGUUCCCUUCGCCUCAGCCAGGGAGCCCCCAGUCCACGUGUCCCAGCACAUGGGGCCCGGCUGCCGGGCCUCCGUUCCCUUGUCUGCAGCACAGAGGUGCUGGAUUUGCCGUAGUUGGCUUUGAUCCUGUGGAGUAGGGCAGCAGCGGGGUGGACAUCUCGGUAACUUCCUCGGUGCUUCCCUGGACUGAGCCUGUUUCUGCCCCAGGGAGGGGGCAGCCCCUGAGCAGGCUGGGAGUGGCCUGCCGCCUCUCUGGGCUGAGCAUGGAGCUGCGGCCCCAGCCGGCCCCUGGUACAGGCCCCAUCCCUCAUUCUCCUGAGACGUCUUAAGCAGCUUCCCCUCCCUGAGGUGCAGCGGCCCCAGAGCUGUGAGCAGAGCCUGGUGAGAUGACAGGAGUCAAGGACAGCACUUAGGCCAAUGGGGUCUGGCAGGGCUUCAACCCUGGGGGUCAGCCUAGUGGGUGCAGCUGAAGGGGCCCAACCAACCCAGCUCUGGGCUGCUCUGGUGAGGGUCUGCCAGGGGCUGGGUGCCAGAAAGACUGAAGGGCAGACACGCCCUGCCCGAUUGGCCUGCCGUCCCCUCAGGGACAGUGGGUGAUGUCACAAUGCCUUGCCUCCUGGGCACACGCCCCUGCCUCCCACCGCCGCCUCUGCUGCCAGCCUGGCCUUGGUAAGCACCACUGCCGGCCGGGGGGAAGGCACAAGGGGGUGGCCCGGGGCUCUCUGCAAGCCUGAGCCAUCAGAGGCCCCCAGCAUGUCCCCUCACGGUACACGGGGCUUUUCUCCCAAAUCCUGGUGCACAGCUGAUGUGGCCCACUGGGUAAUGAGCAGCAGGUUUCAGUUUUGAUUGGGCUGUCAGGAAAGGGAUGCUGAUCCUGCACAAGUGGUGGGAGGGUUUGCUGUCCUCCCGGUGGAGACCUUGUCUCCUGGGGAUGAGGGCCCAGCCGGUGGCUGCCCUCACAUAGGCUACACUGCAUGACCCCACAGAAGCGGGGGACGGCGGGGAUGACCCGAGGGGACCCUGCUCAGCCCCCUGGCAAGUUAGCUUCUGGGUGUUGGGCAGUCGGUGUGGACACUUCUGCUUUGGGGGAGCAGGGCCCGGAGUCGGAUCUGUGGCUGGAAGGGAUCUCUCUGCUGCUGACAGCCGUUCCCCUAGAAGCCAGCUGAGUGUGAGCUCAGACCACUAGGUACGCCCUAAGAGCAGACUGGCUUCUGGGCCUUUCUGGGCUUGAGCCGCUCCCGGCCAGAGGCUGCGGUGGUGGCAGCGGCCCUGACCCCUCAGUUCAGAUGACCGAGGUCUCCAAGCUGGAGAGAACACCACCUCUAGCUAAGAAGCUGGGGGCUUGUCCACCGUAGCAGAUGGGACACAGAGCCCCCAACCUGUCUUCCACCACAAUCCUGGUGAUGGGGCCCCUUACGUCAGAUGGCACUGAAAGGCGGGAAGGGCGUCCUAACACCCUAGGGCCCAGAGAGUCUCAGGUGGCCCCCUCUAGCUGUAGGUAUGGCCAGAGCUGUGAGCUGAUGGGGAGCCUGGUUCUUCCCCGAUGUGGCCCUGCAAAGGCAGGCCCUCCACCCACUGCUCCCAGCUGCCCCCUGAGAGGCUGUCCCUCAUCUGAGACCCUUGGCAGCUCCCCUUGGAGCGUGUGCUGCUUUGGAUGGUGGUGUGGCCCGUGGUGGG
Molecule: non-coding RNA, 3941 nt
Organism: Leptonychotes weddellii (Weddell seal)
Lineage: Eukaryota; Metazoa; Chordata; Mammalia; Carnivora; Phocidae
Source: RefSeq, a predicted model, not a curated record